GACGAACGCUGACGGCGUGCUUAACACAUGCAAGUCGAACGGUGAAGCGCCUUCCUUUUUGGUGGGUGUGGAUGGGUGGCGAACGGGUGAGUAACACGUGAGUAACCUGCCCCCUUCUUCUGGAUAACCUCAUGAAAGUGUGGCUAAUACGGGAUAUUCUGUGUCUGUCGCAUGAUGGGUCUUGGGAAGCUAUUGUUUCGGUGGGGGAUGGGCUCGCGUCCUAUCAGCUUGGUGGUGGGGUGAUGGCCUACCAAGGCGGUGACGAGUAGCCGGCCUGAGAGGGUGGACGGCAACACAGGGACUGAGACACGGAGCAGACUCCUACAGGAGGCAGCAGGGGGGAAUAGUGAACAAGGGGAGGAAGCAUGAUGCAGCGACGCCGCGGGAGGGAAGGAGGCCGUCGGGUUGUGAACCUCUUUCGCGAGUGAAGAGGGGCUGCCUCGUUUGUGGGUGGGUUGACGGUAGCUGGAUAAGAAGCGCCGGCUAACUACGUG
This 494-nucleotide ribosomal RNA is filed under the name uncultured bacterium. Its description in RNAcentral is "partial 16S ribosomal RNA". It matches the Rfam family "Bacterial small subunit ribosomal RNA", at positions 28 to 507 of the family's 1533-position model. The record is from RNAcentral.